Molecule: small nuclear RNA, 102 nt
Organism: Onychomys torridus (southern grasshopper mouse)
Lineage: Eukaryota; Metazoa; Chordata; Mammalia; Rodentia; Cricetidae
Source: RefSeq, a predicted model, not a curated record
GUGCUCACUUCAGCAGCAUAUACACUAACACUGAAAUGAUAAGAGAAGAUGAGCAUGGACCAUGUGCAAGGAUGACAUGGUGCUGUAGCUAUCACUCUUUAU